RNAcentral lists this unclassified non-coding RNA (504 nucleotides) under uncultured Glomus. RNAcentral describes it as "SSU rRNA". It matches the Rfam family "Eukaryotic small subunit ribosomal RNA", at positions 569 to 1075 of the family's 1831-position model. The record is from RNAcentral. Lineage: Eukaryota; Fungi; Glomeromycota; Glomeromycetes; Glomerales; Glomeraceae.
AGCAGCCGCGGUAAUUCCAGCUCCAAUAGCGUAUAUUAAAGUUGUUGCAGUUAAAAAGCUCGUAGUUGAAUUUCGGGAUCAAUGCGUCGGUCGUGCCUUCGGUACGUACUAGCGUCAUUGAUUCCUCCCUUCUGAAGAACCGUGAUGUCAUUAAUUUGGUGUUACGGGGAACCAGGACUGUUACCUUGAAAAAUUAGAGUGUUUAAAGCAGGCUAACGCUUGAAUACAUUAGCAUGGAAUAAUGAAAUAGGACGUUCGAACCUAUUUUGUUGGUUUCUAGGAUCGACGUAAUGAUUAAUAGGGAUAGUUGGGGGCAUUAGUAUUCAAUUGUCAGAGGUGAAAUUCUUGGAUUUAUUGAAGACUGACUACUGCGAAAGCAUUUGCCAAGGAUGUUUUCAUUAAUCAAGAACGAAAGUUAGGGGAUCGAAGACGAUCGGAUACCGUCGUAGUCUUAACCAUAAACUAUGCCGACUAGGGAUCGGAUGAUGUUAAUUUUAUAAUGAC